GGAAACUUAAACCGUAAAUAUAAUUGCAACUCGUAAAAGGCAAAAAGUGGGGAAAACAAUAACAUGUAUCGUUGAUAAGGGAAUCCGAAAACCAUAGUAAAUGAGCAUAUAUAUAUGCUCAUAUCUAGUGAAAAAAUCCGCAGUUCCACGGCCACUCAUGUUAUAAACUCUGAGCUAUCUCUUCUCUUAUGAGCUUAAUUUCAUCCACGACCCACCUACAUAACCAUCCCACCAUCGAU
This 239-nucleotide unclassified non-coding RNA is filed under the name Hevea brasiliensis (rubber tree). Lineage: Eukaryota; Viridiplantae; Streptophyta; Magnoliopsida; Malpighiales; Euphorbiaceae. The record is from RNAcentral.